This is a non-coding RNA of Chroicocephalus ridibundus (black-headed gull), 351 nucleotides long. NCBI's taxonomy places the organism in Eukaryota, Metazoa, Chordata, Aves, Charadriiformes, Laridae. The record is from the annotation of a RefSeq genome assembly.
AUGUUGCUGCUCCCAGUCCUUCUUGCAACUUCGCUGUGGUCCCGUGGAGACGCACAGGCAGCGCCAAUGCAAACCCCAGAGCUGCAGAGGCAGGUGACUGGCAGCUCUGUCAGCAUGGCGUGCCGAAUGAGCGCCAAAAACAUCGUGCACUGGUACAGGCAGCUUCCCGGAGAGCCGCCAAAGAGGAUCCUGUACGUGUCGGGACAGUCACCUGUGUUUGAUGACAGCAGUGAUACAUGGAGAUUUCAAGUAUGGAAACAUCCUACUGAGCCCCUCUACGGUCUCACGAUACAAUAUUUAACCCCGAGGGAUUCUGGCACCUACUACUGUGCCUAUUGGUUCUAUGAAGGC